RNAcentral lists this ribosomal RNA (335 nucleotides) under uncultured soil bacterium. RNAcentral describes it as "bacterial SSU rRNA". It matches the Rfam family "Bacterial small subunit ribosomal RNA", at positions 26 to 363 of the family's 1533-position model. The record is from RNAcentral.
AGAUUGAACGCUAGCGGGAUGCUUUACACAUGCAAGUCGAACGGCAGCGCGGACUUCGGUCUGGCGGCGAGUGGCGAACGGGUGAGUAAUAUAUCGGAACGUGCCCAGUAGCGGGGGAUAACUACGCGAAAGCGUGGCUAAUACCGCAUACGCCCUGCGGGGGAAAGGGGGGAUUCUUCGGAACCUCUCACUAUUGGAGCGGCCGAUAUCAGAUUAGCUAGUUGGCGGGGUAACGGCCCACCAAGGCGACGAUCCGUAGCUGGUCUGAGAGGAUGAUCAGCCACACUGGAACUGAGACACGGUCCAGACUCCUACGGGAGCAGCAGUAGGGAAUG